This 67-nucleotide transfer RNA is filed under the name Varuna litterata. RNAcentral's name for it is "tRNA-Thr". It matches the Rfam family "tRNA". Rfam says of the family: Transfer RNA (tRNA) molecules are approximately 80 nucleotides in length. RNAcentral also lists the same sequence under 1 other name. The record is from RNAcentral. Lineage: Eukaryota; Metazoa; Arthropoda; Malacostraca; Decapoda; Varunidae.
GUUUUUAUAGUUUAAAAAUCAAAACAUUGGUCUUGUAAAUCAAUAAUGAAUUGUAAUUCUAAAAACU